RNAcentral lists this transfer RNA (66 nucleotides) under Horadandia atukorali (golden rasbora). RNAcentral describes it as "tRNA-Cys". It matches the Rfam family "tRNA". Rfam says of the family: Transfer RNA (tRNA) molecules are approximately 80 nucleotides in length. Lineage: Eukaryota; Metazoa; Chordata; Actinopteri; Cypriniformes; Danionidae. The record is from RNAcentral.
AGCCCUGUGGUGUACAACAUAUUAGAUUGCAAACCUAAAGUCGCAGAUUAAUUCCUGCCCGGGCUU